Long non-coding RNA from Etheostoma spectabile (orangethroat darter), 291 nucleotides. RefSeq lists it as uncharacterized. The transcript is spliced from 3 exons. NCBI's taxonomy places the organism in Eukaryota, Metazoa, Chordata, Actinopteri, Perciformes, Percidae. The record is from RefSeq and is a predicted model, not a curated record.
AAGCGGGAGGAGGAAGCUAGCGUUUUUUUCUUUCACUGUCUAUGUUUUUGUUGAUGUUUCUUGGGGAAGAAAACGCUCCACAGGAUGGACAUGGCCACGUCUUUAAAGUCUCUGUUGCUGGCUGUCCAGCAGUACAGAGACGGCAGGACAGCGCAAAACGCAGCGCAGCUACAGAAACAAGUGGAGGAGGUCUCAGGCCUUAAAUGUGACCAGCUGCUGUCCUCAGGCCAGGUCCUGCCCCGGGAGUGUGUGAGUGGGCUGGUGGAGCUGGCUGGAAACCGAACACCAGCC